Molecule: long non-coding RNA, 1251 nt
Organism: Podarcis raffonei (Aeolian wall lizard)
Lineage: Eukaryota; Metazoa; Chordata; Lepidosauria; Squamata; Lacertidae
Exons: 3
Source: RefSeq, a predicted model, not a curated record
CACCCUGCGGAGAUGCGAAAGGGAGAAGGCGGCCGCCGGUGCAACGCUGCGCUGUGAAAACAUUUUUCCUGGUGUGCAUUGAGAUAAGAAGUGCUCUCUGCACGUGCCCGUAAUAGUUAUUUUAACAGGACUGUCCCAUUUCUGGAGGAAAUGGGGGUGUGGCAGGCUGGGAGUGUUGCAAGCGUGGAUUUAUAUACGGUACUUCCCUGUUUUUGUAUGUAAUUUGUCGUUGUAAUGGUUAAUGUGUGUUUAUAAUUGCAUUUUCUAUCGCUGUAACCCGCCCUGGGCAAUGCCCUCUUUCCCCGAGAAUGAGAUCCCAAGGGUUAGAUCAGCUGAGCUGCAUUUUUACAGAGAGGCCUGGACAUCUGGGAAGAAAGCUACCCAUCGCCUUUUCCUGCAGUGACCACAAACCUUUCUGAUACCAAGCUGCCUCCCUCAGACACUGAGCAGGAGCAGAACUUGAAAGUAGGAGAAAGAUGAGGACAUGGUCUCACUCGCAGGUAAUGGAAAGCUGAGUGAGAAGAAGAACGAGGACCAGCUCAGCCUGGAAGAAUCUGAGGCAGACGGACCACCCCUUGGAGGAGACAACUGGGACAUCUAUGAGAUGGUAGAAACAUCUGGAAGUCGCCACGACUCAGAUGGGCAUGGAAAACAGAAGGACAUACCUGUUCCUCCUUAUGACCAGGGAGACAAGCCCAACGACUGCAUAAAGUGCAGGAAAAGCUUUAGCUGGAAGUCCCACCUUCAGCCAGAGCUUAGCCCCCAUGACGCAUGAGAGGCCCCACACUGGCAAGAAACCAUUCACCUGCCUGGACUGCAGGAAGAACUUCCACCGGAGGUCGGGUCUUUUGGUGCAUGAGAGGGUGCACACGGGAGAGAAGCCGUACACAUGCACAGAGUGUGGGAAGAGUUUGAGCCAGAGCUCGAGUCUUUUGGCCCAUGAGGGGACCCAUACGAGAGAGAAGUCAUAUCUGUGCACCAAGUGCGGGGGAAACUGUGAAUGCACGCAUUUGUGUUUUACCGCAAUGCCAAGGAGGAAAGACCUCAGCAAUGCUCUUCGAGAAGCAAUUGUUGCUGCCCACGAAACUGGGAAGGGUUAUAAGGCCAUCUCCAAACAAUUUAAAGUCCAUCAUUCUACAAUCAGAAAGAUUAUUCAGAAGUGGAAAACAUUCCAGACAGUUGCCAACCUUCCCAGGAGUGGAUGUCCCAGCAAAUUCACCCCAAGGUCAGACCGUGCUAUGCUCAGAGAAA